This 1528-nucleotide ribosomal RNA is filed under the name Lacticaseibacillus paracasei. Its description in RNAcentral is "bacterial SSU rRNA". It matches the Rfam family "Bacterial small subunit ribosomal RNA". Lineage: Bacteria; Bacillati; Bacillota; Bacilli; Lactobacillales; Lactobacillaceae. The record is from RNAcentral.
UGGCUCAGGAUGAACGCUGGCGGCGUGCCUAAUACAUGCAAGUCGAACGAGUUCUCGUUGAUGAUCGGUGCUUGCACCGAGAUUCAACAUGGAACGAGUGGCGGACGGGUGAGUAACACGUGGGUAACCUGCCCUUAAGUGGGGGAUAACAUUUGGAAACAGAUGCUAAUACCGCAUAGAUCCAAGAACCGCAUGGUUCUUGGCUGAAAGAUGGCGUAAGCUAUCGCUUUUGGAUGGACCCGCGGCGUAUUAGCUAGUUGGUGAGGUAACGGCUCACCAAGGCGAUGAUACGUAGCCGAACUGAGAGGUUGAUCGGCCACAUUGGGACUGAGACACGGCCCAAACUCCUACGGGAGGCAGCAGUAGGGAAUCUUCCACAAUGGACGCAAGUCUGAUGGAGCAACGCCGCGUGAGUGAAGAAGGCUUUCGGGUCGUAAAACUCUGUUGUUGGAGAAGAAUGGUCGGCAGAGUAACUGUUGUCGGCGUGACGGUAUCCAACCAGAAAGCCACGGCUAACUACGUGCCAGCAGCCGCGGUAAUACGUAGGUGGCAAGCGUUAUCCGGAUUUAUUGGGCGUAAAGCGAGCGCAGGCGGUUUUUUAAGUCUGAUGUGAAAGCCCUCGGCUUAACCGAGGAAGCGCAUCGGAAACUGGGAAACUUGAGUGCAGAAGAGGACAGUGGAACUCCAUGUGUAGCGGUGAAAUGCGUAGAUAUAUGGAAGAACACCAGUGGCGAAGGCGGCUGUCUGGUCUGUAACUGACGCUGAGGCUCGAAAGCAUGGGUAGCGAACAGGAUUAGAUACCCUGGUAGUCCAUGCCGUAAACGAUGAAUGCUAGGUGUUGGAGGGUUUCCGCCCUUCAGUGCCGCAGCUAACGCAUUAAGCAUUCCGCCUGGGGAGUACGACCGCAAGGUUGAAACUCAAAGGAAUUGACGGGGGCCCGCACAAGCGGUGGAGCAUGUGGUUUAAUUCGAAGCAACGCGAAGAACCUUACCAGGUCUUGACAUCUUUUGAUCACCUGAGAGAUCAGGUUUCCCCUUCGGGGGCAAAAUGACAGGUGGUGCAUGGUUGUCGUCAGCUCGUGUCGUGAGAUGUUGGGUUAAGUCCCGCAACGAGCGCAACCCUUAUGACUAGUUGCCAGCAUUUAGUUGGGCACUCUAGUAAGACUGCCGGUGACAAACCGGAGGAAGGUGGGGAUGACGUCAAAUCAUCAUGCCCCUUAUGACCUGGGCUACACACGUGCUACAAUGGAUGGUACAACGAGUUGCGAGACCGCGAGGUCAAGCUAAUCUCUUAAAGCCAUUCUCAGUUCGGACUGUAGGCUGCAACUCGCCUACACGAAGUCGGAAUCGCUAGUAAUCGCGGAUCAGCACGCCGCGGUGAAUACGUUCCCGGGCCUUGUACACACCGCCCGUCACACCAUGAGAGUUUGUAACACCCGAAGCCGGUGGCGUAACCCUUUUAGGGAGCGAGCCGUCUAAGGUGGGACAAAUGAUUAGGGUGAAGUCGUAACAAGGUAGCCGUAGGAGAA